Drosophila serrata is the source of this 355-nucleotide long non-coding RNA. The record is from RefSeq and is a predicted model, not a curated record. NCBI's taxonomy places the organism in Eukaryota, Metazoa, Arthropoda, Insecta, Diptera, Drosophilidae.
CCCUGAAAUUUUCUUUAUUGCGUAGAUUGAUCUAUGCAGAGGCGAGCCAAAAAGGAAUUCAAAAGUUAACGGUUCAUAGAAAAUACAAUAAGUAAAAGAAUAGAUGCACCUACAGUGUAAUAUUUAAACAUGAUUUGUUUUCGUCUUAAUUUUAAUGCUAUUAAAAUUUAAAAAAUUUCAUGGAAAUCGGUCAACAAAAACCAGAAUAAUAAAAAAAAUAAGUUUGGCGGCUUUUCAUAUAGCAACGCUUAUAAGGGAAUAUUCAGCAGUAUCAAAAGCCACAAAAUAAUUUAAGCCUCAAACACGAAUCCUGAAGUGUAAAAACCAUUUAACAAUAAAAAUAUUUAUCAUGACA